ACCGACGGCCGCCACGAACACAUCUCCCCCGCGCUCUCUCUCACCUCUCCCAGUCGUGACUGAGCCCUCAACCAGUGGCGCCAUAGCAAGGAACGUGCAACUAACAACAGUUUGCUGAACAAAAUCAAGUUCCUGUUCCUGAACAACUUGAACUUAAAGAUAAUACCAAAGGGAAACCUUAAGUGUGUGGACCAACUUGAAUACCCGAAAGUUCGUUUCCAGUGAAGUGGAACCAUUUGUUCAGUGGAACUUUAAAAAUACCUCACAGGUUCCUGCUUGAGCGGAACUUAAAAAAACAAUUAUCUGAAAGGUCCUUAUUUGAGCUUUAAAACUCCAUCUAAAAAGAUUUCCGCUUAAGUGGAACUUCAAAACAGCAUCCGAAAGGCUUCUUGAGUGCAAGAACUUGAGUGGGAACUUAAAAGCACCAUCUAAAGGGCUUCUCCUUGAGUGCAUGAACUCCCUGAGUAAGGUCACCUGGUACACGCCUUCAAGAGUGUAGAAUCAGGUGUGAGCGAAACGUGUCAGGUGUGGGCGUACUAACACAGGCGUGGGCGUACUGCCACAGGUGUGGGCGUGAUGUGGGCGGUGUGGGCGUGUUUGACAAUCCUCUUCCAAACGGGCAUCGCAGAAU
This is a non-coding RNA of Procambarus clarkii (red swamp crayfish), 631 nucleotides long. Lineage: Eukaryota; Metazoa; Arthropoda; Malacostraca; Decapoda; Cambaridae. The record is from RefSeq and is a predicted model, not a curated record.